AGUCGAGCGAACAGACGAGGAGCUUGCUCCUCUAACGUUAGCGGCGGACGGGUGAGUAACACGUGGAUAACCUACCUAUAAGACUGGGAUAACUUCGGGAAACCGGAGCUAAUACCGGAUAAUAUAUUGAACCGCAUGGUUCAAUAGUGAAAGACGGUUUUGCUGUCACUUAUAGAUGGAUCCGCGCCGCAUUAGCUAGUUGGUAAGGUAACGGCUUACCAAGGCAACGAUGCGUAGCCGACCUGAGAGGGUGAUCGGCCACACUGGAACUGAGACACGGUCCAGACUCCUACGGGAGGCAGCAGUAGGGAAUCUUCCGCAAUGGGCGAAAGCCUGACGGAGCAACGCCGCGUGAGUGAUGAAGGUCUUCGGAUCGUAAAACUCUGUUAUUAGGGAAGAACAAAUGUGUAAGUAACUAUGCACGUCUUGACGGUACCUAAUCAGAAAGCCACGGCUAACUACGUGCCAGCAGCCGCGGUAAUACGUAGGUGGCAAGCGUUAUCCGGAAUUAUUGGGCGUAAAGCGCGCGUAGGCGGUUUUUUAAGUCUGAUGUGAAAGCCCACGGCUCAACCGUGGAGGGUCAUUGGAAACUGGAAAACUUGAGUGCAGAAGAGGAAAGUGGAAUUCCAUGUGUAGCGGUGAAAUGCGCAGAGAUAUGGAGGAACACCAGUGGCGAAGGCGACUUUCUGGUCUGUAACUGACGCUGAUGUGCGAA
RNAcentral lists this ribosomal RNA (715 nucleotides) under uncultured Staphylococcus sp. RNAcentral describes it as "bacterial SSU rRNA". It matches the Rfam family "Bacterial small subunit ribosomal RNA", at positions 60 to 757 of the family's 1533-position model. The record is from RNAcentral. Lineage: Bacteria; Bacillati; Bacillota; Bacilli; Caryophanales; Staphylococcaceae.